UUGUGCUAAGGUAGCAUAAUCAUUUGUCUUUUAAUUAAAGACUAGAACAAAAGAUUAAACAUUUUAAUCAAUAUAUUACAAUUAAUAAAUUUAAUUUUUUUUAAAUGUAAAAAAACAUUUAUAAAUAAGGAAGACGAUAAGACCCUAUUAAACUUAACUUAAGUUAAACUGGGGCAGUUAAUUAAUUAUCAUUUUAAUUUAAAUUUUUAAAUAAAUAGAUCCUAUAAAAUAGGUCAAAUGAUCAAGUUACUAUAGGGAUAACAGCGUAAUAUUAAUUUAAAGAUCUUAUUAAAAUAAAAGAUUACGACCUCGAUGUUGAAUUAAUAACCUAUAUAGUGCAAUAAACAAUAAUAG
RNAcentral lists this ribosomal RNA (354 nucleotides) under Negayan ancha. Its description in RNAcentral is "partial 16S ribosomal RNA". The record is from RNAcentral. Lineage: Eukaryota; Metazoa; Arthropoda; Arachnida; Araneae; Anyphaenidae.